Long non-coding RNA from Amphiprion ocellaris (clown anemonefish), 658 nucleotides. NCBI's taxonomy places the organism in Eukaryota, Metazoa, Chordata, Actinopteri, Pomacentridae. The record is from Ensembl.
AUUCAACAUGGAGGCUGCUGGUUGUUGUGGAUUCCUCAAUCCGGAGGAGGAGAUUUAAUCAUCAUUUAAUCAUCAUUCACACACUGCUGGGGAUGAAUACAUGAAGUGAACCGUUGAUUCAGGUCCACAGGAGGAGAUUUAAUUAUUUAAACAUCAUUGACACACUUCUGUGGAUGAAUCCAUGAAGCUGUGGGCUCCUUUCUCCCUGCACUAACCGCCCUGGUGGAGGAGUUUAAUGAGCUAACGGAGCUGACUGACCGUUAACUAACUCUACUGGCUUAUUAACUAACUCUCUGAGGGACCGGAUGGAGCCCCGGCAGGUCAUCGGGCUGUUCGGACAGCUCAGCGGGUUCCCGGCGCCUGUUGGGGCUCAUGUUACCGAGGAGCAGCUGGAGGAGGUCCGGAUCUACCGGCUGGCAGCAGAACAACCACAACAGAGCUACAUCUGUCUACCAAGCUGUAGUCAUUCACACUUUAUGGCUCAGAAAGAUGGACCACAAAUGUUCGGCGUAUCAAGCAGCUAGACUCCUUUCACCAACGGGGCUCGCACAAAAUCCUCCAUGUAUCCUGACAAGACGGUAACGGAGCUAGAUGUCCUAGACUGUAGGGUGCAUCUACGGUGGGAAGGCCACUAAGAAUGGAUGAUGACAGGCUACCC